Molecule: ribosomal RNA, 253 nt
Filed under: uncultured bacterium
Lineage: Bacteria
Description: partial 16S ribosomal RNA
Rfam family: Bacterial small subunit ribosomal RNA
Source: RNAcentral
ACGAACCGUGCGAUCGUUAUUCGGAAUCACUGGGCUUAAAGCGCGUGUAGGCGGGAGGGCACGUCGGCCGCUGAAAUCCCCCGGCUCAACCGGGGAAGUGGCGCCGAUACGACCUUCCUGGAGGGACGUAGGGGGACCUGGAACUUCCGGUGGAGCGGUGAAAUGCGUUGAGAUCGGAAGGAACGCCCGUGGCGAAAGCGAGGUCCUGGACGUCUUCUGACGCUGAGACGCGAAAGCCAGGGGAGCAAACGGG